Molecule: non-coding RNA, 1676 nt
Organism: Rhopilema esculentum
Lineage: Eukaryota; Metazoa; Cnidaria; Scyphozoa; Rhizostomeae; Rhizostomatidae
Source: RefSeq, a predicted model, not a curated record
GGAAAUAGGACGUUCUUGAGACUUGAAGAGCCUUUGAUGCAAAAUGCAUAAAAUACUUUACAUCUGGUAUGCUGCUAUCUAUGUUGCGUCCCUUGAAGCUUCCAGCGAUGAAACGUUACCUUCAGCUUUCUAUCAACCUGGACCUGGUGUCAUAGUAAAGACAUGGAACUCUGCCAAAUACUACGAUAUCGGCAACUUCACAGGUAUUAGGAAAUUUCCAAACUGCCCAAACAAUAUCGAAAACAUAAACAACUUUGAAUACAGUCAACAAAAUAUUGUAAAAAGGCAUCAAUAUGGGCUAUACCAAGCCAUAUUUGCCUCUACACAAAGUGGUAAGCACAGGUUUUUUGCUACAUGCAAAAUGAAAUGUCGGGUGUUCAUUGACACAAACCUGCCAACUCCAGUGAAAAUAUUGGAUAUCACUAGCAAGGCAAGGACUGCUUUGACUAGUCACUCCAAAUUACUCGUCGAUCUGCUACAGGGAUUCCGAUACCAAAUUACAGUCUAUCACUAUGGAAACGAGACACACCCAGGUUUCUUUCAGCUUGGCGUGCAAUUUCCAAAUUCAACAGAAUUGAUUCCAAUAGGCAAAGAAUUUUUUACAUCGGUCAAUGGGUACGUAAAAUUUAACUAAUGAAAGCGGAGAAUAUAAUACGUAUUUAAGGGGCUUAAACGUCUUUGGGAAGGGGGGAUUGCUAAACAUGUUAAAAAUCAACAACAGGGCAAUUUUUUGUAUGGUUUUCAGUGCAUUUGGGAAAUCAUUGGGAAAGUCUCCCCCGCUUCUACGGUCCCUGAUAUUAACUUCAGCCAUUAAGUAAAACACUGUUAUGUACAGCUAGAUUUUUCAUCCUAUAGAAUAAUAAUAAUAAUAAUAAAACACGAAUGUUUAUACAGGAAUAACCUAUCAGUAUGACAAGCAUACUGUUAUCAUUAGGGUCCUGUGCGUAAGGUACAAACUAAAAGGAUUAAAUUAAGCUAGCUAAAAAUUCAUAUAAUUAAAUAAAAUCAUGUACUUGUGUUCUGAAUAAAACCCUAGAGUCUAAUUUUCUUGCUGAAAUAGGAAUGUUGUUGUAAACAUGCGCAGCAGCCACAGAAAAACUUUUACGACCAAAUUCAGUUUUCAUCUGGUUAUUUAAAAGUCAUUGGUUUACAUGACGUGCAGUCAGCGUUCAAUUCCUAGCAAAGCUCCUUGGCAAAUCAAAUGACUGUGCUUAGCUUUUCUAAAGCAUCCCCUCUAAGAUCUAAGGUAAUUUUGAUUUUCUAUUAAACCCCAUCUCACUUUUAUGAGAAAACCGGUAUUGUUUGUUGCCACAUUGGAAAUUUGAUUUCGGGUUCAAAGAUGUUAAACAGUGAGUGUGAUAGGUGAUCAGCGAAACCGGAGCAAAUUUGGAGCUUUUAAUGAAUUUUUAAUAAAGUAAAGUAAUACCAAUCAAAUGGAUAAAGUUUUUUGCAAAUUCUUCGAAAAGGUGGUUGGAAGAUUUUUAAUGAGAAAAAUGAUGAUAAUUUACAGUAAACAAAAAAAGACUUUUCGUUUCAUUGAGUUAAUUCAAAUUAGAUACAUUUAUCGUGUACACUCUUUCUUUUAUAAGAACCAGUAAAUUUAAGUUCAGGCUGACUGUUCUUAAUUUUUUCGAAAAUCUGAGGCUGGAUUGUUCUUAAUUUGUUCUUGAAUUAAG